GACAGAGGCCUCAAGCGUUAGGCGGAAUCACUGGGCUUAAAGCGUGUGUAGGCGGAUCGUUAAGUACCUUGUGAAAUCCCACGGCUCACCCGUGGAACUGCUGGGUAUACUGGCGGUCUUGGGCCAACUAGGGGCAGCUGGAACAAGCGGUGGAGCGGUGAAAUGCGUAGAUAUCGCUUGGAACGCCGAAGGUGAAAACAGGCUGCUGGGGUUGUGCCGACGCUGAGACACGAAAGCCAGGGGAGCAAACGGGG
This 254-nucleotide ribosomal RNA is filed under the name uncultured bacterium. Its description in RNAcentral is "partial 16S ribosomal RNA". It matches the Rfam family "Bacterial small subunit ribosomal RNA", at positions 524 to 777 of the family's 1533-position model. The record is from RNAcentral.